RNAcentral lists this non-coding RNA (89 nucleotides) under unclassified sequences. Its description in RNAcentral is "DUF3800-VII RNA". It matches the Rfam family "DUF3800-VII RNA". The record is from Rfam by way of RNAcentral.
GACGGGUAAGCGCAGGAUAUGUAGAGGCCGCUCCCUGCGAGUGGCAGCCCAUAUGGGUGGGAUCCUCGGUUCCUGGGACCCUUCAGUUU